This 411-nucleotide ribosomal RNA is filed under the name uncultured bacterium. RNAcentral describes it as "bacterial SSU rRNA". It matches the Rfam family "Bacterial small subunit ribosomal RNA", at positions 11 to 424 of the family's 1533-position model. The record is from RNAcentral.
GUUUGAUCCUGGCUCAGGACGAACGCUGGCGGCGUGCUUAACACAUGCAAGUCGAACGGUGAACCCUCUUCGGAGGGGGAUCAGUGGCGAACGGGUGAGUAACACGUGAGCAACCUGCCCCCAACUCUGGGAUAACUCCGGGAAACCGGAGCUAAUACCGGAUAUGAAGCACUCGGGCAUCCGAUGUGCUUGGAAAGAUUUUAUCGGUUGGGGAUGGGCUCGCGGCCUAUCAGCUUGUUGGUGGGGUAACGGCCCACCAAGGCGACGACGGGUAGCCGGCCUGAGAGGGCGACCGGCCACACUGGGACUGAGACACGGCCCAGACUCCUACGGGAGGCAGCAGUGGGGAAUAUUGCGCAAUGGGCGAAAGCCUGACGCAGCGACGCCGCGUGAGGGACGAAGGCCUCGGUU